GGGUAAUUAAGGUUGCAAAAUGGCGAGGGGGGAGGUAAGCUGUCUUUGCUUGGCCAUCUUGGGCUAGCAGGCCUUGCAGAGAACUACCUUUUUAGCUGAGUGAAGGGAUCAACCUGAGUUGGAGUUCUCCUAUGCUGUGGCCAGAUCCACUAGAAAUUAACCCAGAAUCUUAGCCUCUCAGUGGCCUAUCGCAUGAAUACCAGCACAGCCCAACUAUGUGUAAGCAGAUCUGUGCAGGAAUGAGAGUCCCAGGGAGAGAAUCCACGUUGUUUCUGAAAGAAAAUGGCUAUAGCUCACUGUUGUUUACUGGAAAUAGUAGGGGGAAGGAAAGAUGGAAGUCCAGGUCCAGUGUCAUAUACUGCCCUGCACCUUACUCACUUCUCUGCCUUUAGGGUGAUGCCACACUCAAUCAGAAACUAUGCUACUGCUGAAGAGGUAUAUUGAGCCCUGCCUGGUUAACCUCCAGUGAGGUUAUUAGAGAAUUGGGAGAGGCUCAAAUCAGCAUCCUGCACCUAGUUAUCAAACCAUUGUGAAGUCUUGAUUCCUGGAUGGCCAGAAAACUUGUCAUUGGUCAAGAGCAACAUUAAGAUCUGCCUGUUACUCAUACUGAUGCUUCCUGCCCAGCAAGUUCAUCAGAGGGCGAGGAUGAAUUACGGUUGCCAUGAAUGUCCUUGUGAGGCAGUUGGGAAGCCUUGGCUGGAUUGUGAAGGAUAUUUGAAAAGUAUUUUAGAGUCCACCAGAUCAUCCAUGUGAGUGACCAUGCAGCAAAAGAAGGAGGGUCCUCUCAGUGAUUAAGGAUUAUGAAGUAUUAAUUCUUCCACUGAUAUCUCAAAAGGUGAUCUGGACAAAGGAACAGGUAUCUCAGCUUCCAAGUUUGCUGGAGCCAUGUUUUCUCUAAUGUCCCCACAGAACAGUGGUUGGUAGGAUGGCGGAGACAUGGACUUCAGAGAGUUCUUGGUAGAAGACUCAAAGAGCCACCUGUCAUGAGACAUCCCACUUCCUUCCCCAGGUUACUUCCAAGACUGAGCAGCCAGGUUUUUGGUAGAUGAGAACAAAUGUUUCUUCCUGAAGCCCUGGGGCUUCAGGUAGGAAGAAGGACUGCUAUACUUGUUCUCACCCUUGGCUUCUGGCUGCUCCAGUUAAACAUGGUUCCCAUUGAUACAGACAUUAGAGUGGGAAAGGACUUCGUUCAUAGACCGAAGACCCUCAAAGGAAAGUCCUUCCAUUUUGGGAAGGGUGACAUUGAUUUCGUUUAGCUGCUUAAGAUAUGUACUUGCUGUUGUCUUGUGAGACAUGACAUCUGAAGCUGAAGAGGAGUCCCUCUCAUUGUUGUCAUUGUCCCACCGGGACUGAAAGUCUCCCAGUUGAGGCAGCAUUUUAGCUUUGAUGUCUACAGGGCAAUCAUGGAUCAGGAAAUUUCUGCAAAUUAGACUUGGAAAACAAGGUCUUGAUCCUUCUUGUCUUUGGACGAAGACUAAUCAUCACUUUUGACUGAAGGUGUAGUGCUGGAGACUAUGUUGGAGGCAGCACCUGAUGCACUAUCCAUAUUCUUCCCCUUGAUCUUGUCUUAAAGUUUUCCAAAUGGAUUCCGAGGCUUGUCUUUGAUGAAAAGGUCAAACAUACUGGCAGUCAUGUUGUUUCUCAUAAGCUGGAUGUCAACCUCAAUUUCUCCUCUUUAUCCUUCUCUCCUGGUUUGGAUUUCAAGGUAUACCACCGCAUCUUCCUGCUCCCCUAGUCUGGGUGCAGGUCCUGCAGGUACACCUCGGCGAAGCCCAAGUACAGUAGCAGCAGCACCUCAAAGGUGGCCUCCUCCUCUGACACUGAGGUGGCAUACUUCUCCUUACCCACCUGAAUCACCGAGUACAUGUUGCUUGUACCGUCAGGCUCUUGGUUCUUGGCCCCUGGCCCUAUGCCUGCAACACUGUCACCUGCACGUGGAUUGGGAACCACAUAGCCCCCGGACCUGCUAAGGCCAUUAAGGACAGGAUGGUGAUGCCUCGGCUGACUGACGUGAGAAGAUUGUCAUGACCCAUGGCCUCUACUGCUGUCCUACCAACAGAAACUUCAUAAUGUUGUGCAGGCGUUACCACUACCUAGUUCCAGAACAUUGCCAUCACCCCCAAAAUAAAUCUUGCAUUCAUUAAGCAGUCACCCCUAUUUUCCCCCAUCCCUGUCAACCACUGAUUUAUGUUCUGUCUCUAUGGAUUCCCCUGUUCCGGAUAAUUCACGUAAAUGGAAUAACACAAUAGAUGCCUUUUAUCAUGGGUUUCUUUCACUUAGGAUGUUUUGUAGGGUAAUCCAUAU
This is a long non-coding RNA of Homo sapiens (human), 2304 nucleotides long. Ensembl annotates it as FTX transcript, XIST regulator. Its record names the gene FTX. The record is from Ensembl. NCBI's taxonomy places the organism in Eukaryota, Metazoa, Chordata, Mammalia, Primates, Hominidae.